UACGUAGGUGGCAAGCGUUGUCCGGAAUUAUUGGGCGUAAAGCGCGCGCAGGCGGUCCUUUAAGUCUGAUGUGAAAGCCCACGGCUCAACCGUGGAGGGUCAUUGGAAACUGGGGGACUUGAGUGCAGAAGAGGAAAGCGGAAUUCCACGUGUAGCGGUGAAAUGCGUAGAGAUGUGGAGGAACACCCGUGGCUAAGGCGGCUCUCUAGUACGGUACUGACGCUGAGACGCGAAAGCGUGGGGAGCGAACAGG
This 253-nucleotide ribosomal RNA is filed under the name uncultured bacterium. RNAcentral's name for it is "partial 16S ribosomal RNA". It matches the Rfam family "Bacterial small subunit ribosomal RNA", at positions 524 to 776 of the family's 1533-position model. The record is from RNAcentral.